This 253-nucleotide ribosomal RNA is filed under the name uncultured bacterium. RNAcentral describes it as "partial 16S ribosomal RNA". It matches the Rfam family "Bacterial small subunit ribosomal RNA", at positions 524 to 776 of the family's 1533-position model. The record is from RNAcentral.
UACGAAGGGGGCGAGCGUUGUUCGGAAUUACUGGGUGUAAAGCGCGUGUAGGCGGCAGACCAAGUCGGCGGUGAAAGCGCCCGGCUCAACUGGGCGAGGUCCGUGGAAACUGGUCAGCUGGAGGACGGUAGAGGCGAGUGGAAUUCCCGGUGUAGUGGUGAAAUGCGUAGAGAUCGGGAGGAACACCUGUGGCGAAGGCGGCUCGCUGGGCCGGUCCUGACGCUGAGACGCGAAGGCGUGGGGAGCGAACGGG